UUGAGAUCCUACUACACAGUCAGAAAAUAAUCCCACCCACGUCCUCUGCCCCAAGGUAGCUAGAACAAGAUGAAGGAGAAAGACAAAAGGACUCCAUCAAAUUCAUUUCUGCACUCCAGAUGCUGGGCACACGGUGGGCACACACACCUGAAAUUGCCGUAUUUCAAGGGGCUACCUUAUUGGACCAUUGCCAGCAUCAUGGAAAGUUCCACGGGACAGCACGACACCAGAAGAUCGUGGAGUCAACCUAGGGCAUGGAGUCAUGGUUAAGAAGGACGAGGAGGGCUUCCCUGGUGGCGCAGUGGUUGAGAGUCCGCCUGCUGAUGCAGGGGACGCAGGUUCAUGCCCCGGUCCGGGAAGAUCCCACAUGUCGCGGAGCGGCUGGGCCUGUGAUCCGUGGCCGCUGAGCCUGCGCGUCCGGAGCCUGUGCUCCGCAA
Long non-coding RNA from Globicephala melas (long-finned pilot whale), 437 nucleotides. RefSeq lists it as uncharacterized. Lineage: Eukaryota; Metazoa; Chordata; Mammalia; Artiodactyla; Delphinidae. The record is from RefSeq and is a predicted model, not a curated record.